Molecule: ribosomal RNA, 494 nt
Filed under: uncultured bacterium
Lineage: Bacteria
Description: partial 16S ribosomal RNA
Rfam family: Bacterial small subunit ribosomal RNA
Source: RNAcentral
GACGAACGCUGGCGGCGUGCCUAAUACAUGCAAGUAGAACGCUGAAGGAGGAGCUUGCUUCUCCGGAUGAGUGGCGAACGGGUGAGUAACGCGUAGGUAACCUGCCUGGUAGCGGGGGAUAACUAUUGGAAACGAUAGCUAAUACCGCAUAAGAGUAGAUGUCGCAUGACAUUUGCUUAAAAGGUGCAACUGCACCACUACCAGAUGGACCUGCGUUGUAUUAGCUAGUUGGUGAGGUAACGGCUCACCAAGGCAACGAUACAUAGCCGACCUGAGAGGGGGAUCGGCCACACUGGGACUGAGACACGGCCAGACUCCUACGGGAGGCAGCAGUAGGGAAUCUUCGGCAAUGGACGGAAGUCUGACCGAGCAACGCCGCGUGAGUGAAGAAGGUUUUCGGAUCGUAAAGCUCUGUUGUAAGAGAAGAACGAGUGUGAGAGUGGAAAGUUCACACUGUGACGGUAUCUUACCAGAAAGGGACGGCUAACUACGUG